AUGCUCACUUCAGCAGCACAUAUACUAAAAGUGGAAUAAUACAGAGAAGAUUGGAAUGGCCCCUGUGCAAGGAUGCGUGAAGUGUUCCAUAUUUUU
Balaenoptera musculus (blue whale) is the source of this 96-nucleotide small nuclear RNA. The record is from Ensembl. NCBI's taxonomy places the organism in Eukaryota, Metazoa, Chordata, Mammalia, Artiodactyla, Balaenopteridae.